UAUCUCUGUGGUCGUACCUGCUGAAUUCUCCAUAUUCAUCCCAGGUGUAGAAUUCAGAGAAAUAGCAUUGCAGAGGAAGUGCCCAUUCCACCGCUAACUCUGUCCGUAGUCAGCUGGUGGAAGAUAAUCUGCUACAAGU
This 139-nucleotide small nucleolar RNA is filed under the name Danio rerio (zebrafish). The record is from RNAcentral. Lineage: Eukaryota; Metazoa; Chordata; Actinopteri; Cypriniformes; Danionidae.